Molecule: ribosomal RNA, 520 nt
Filed under: uncultured prokaryote
Description: bacterial SSU rRNA
Rfam family: Bacterial small subunit ribosomal RNA
Source: RNAcentral
GGGUUCCUACAUUCUUAAGACCGCCUUCGGAUGGUCAGGCACUUUCAGCGAGGAGGAAAGGGUGUAAGUUAAUACCUUACAUCUGUGACGUUACUCGCAGAAGAAGCACCGGCUAACUCCGUGCCAGCAGCCGCGGUAAUACGGAGGGUGCGAGCGUUAAUCGGAAUUACUGGGCGUAAAGCGUGCGCAGGCGGUUUGUUAAGCGAGAUGUGAAAGCCCCGGGCUCAACCUGGGAACCGCAUUUCGAACUGGCAAACUAGAGUCUUGUAGAGGGGGGUAGAAUUCCAGGUGUAGCGGUGAAAUGCGUAGAGAUCUGGAGGAAUACCGGUGGCGAAGGCGGCCCCCUGGACAAAGACUGACGCUCAGGCACGAAAGCGUGGGGAGCAAACAGGAUUAGAUACCCUGGUAGUCCACGCCGUAAACGAUGUCUACUCGGAGUUUGGUGUCUUGAACACUGGGCUCUCAAGCUAACGCAUUAAGUAGACCGCCUGGGGAGUACGGCGCAAGGUUAAAACUCAAA